Molecule: unclassified non-coding RNA, 337 nt
Filed under: soil metagenome
Description: partial contains 5.8S ribosomal RNA, internal transcribed spacer 2, and large subunit ribosomal RNA
Rfam family: 5.8S ribosomal RNA (bases 1-120)
Source: RNAcentral
GAUGAAGAACGUAGCGAAAUGCGAUAAGUAGUGUGAAUUGCAGAAUUCAGUGAAUCAUCGAAUCUUUGAACGCACAUUGCGCCCCUUGGUAUUCCAUGGGGCAUGCCUGUUCGAGCGUCAUUUGUACCUUCAAGCUUUGCUUGGUGUUGGGUGUUUGUCUCGCCUCCGCGUGUAGACUCGCCUCAAAACAAUUGGCAGCCGGCGUAUUGAGUUCGGAGCGCAGUACAUCUCGCGCUUUGCACUCACAACGACGACGUCCAAAAGUACAUUUUUACACUCUUGACCUCGGAUCAGGUAGGGAUACCCGCUGAACUUAAGCAUAUCAAUAAGCGGAGGA